AACAACGCUGGCGGCGUGCCUAACACAUGCAAGUCGUACGAGAAAGUCGGCUUCGGCCGAUGAGUACAGUGGCGCACGGGUGAGUAGCGCGUGGGUAAUCUGCCCCCGGUCAGGAAUAACCCGCCGAAAGGCGGGCUAAUACCCGAUAACACUGACGCUCCGCGGAGCGUCUUUCAAAGAAGGCCUCUGUUUACAAGCUUUCGCCGGAGGAUGAGCCCGCGUACCAUUAGCUAGUUGGCAGGGUAAUGGCCUACCAAGGCUACGAUGGUUAGCUGGUCUGAGAGGAUGGCCAGCCACACUGGAACUGAGACACGGUCCAGACUCCUACGGGAGGCAGCAGUGAGGAAUCUUGCGCAAUGGGGGAAACCCUGACGCAGCAACGCCGCGUGAGUGAGGAAGGCCUUCGGGUCGUAAAGCUCUGUCAGAUGGGAAGAAAUGGAUGGGGGCUAAUAUCGCCCAUCCUUGACGGUACCAUCAGAGGAAGCACCGGCUAACUCCGUG
This 501-nucleotide ribosomal RNA is filed under the name uncultured bacterium. RNAcentral's name for it is "bacterial SSU rRNA". It matches the Rfam family "Bacterial small subunit ribosomal RNA", at positions 32 to 507 of the family's 1533-position model. The record is from RNAcentral.